GGUUCUUCAGCGGUGCUUUUG
This 21-nucleotide ribosomal RNA is filed under the name Leptosphaeria sclerotioides. RNAcentral describes it as "partial 18S ribosomal RNA". The record is from RNAcentral. Lineage: Eukaryota; Fungi; Ascomycota; Dothideomycetes; Pleosporales; Leptosphaeriaceae.